Molecule: long non-coding RNA, 1088 nt
Organism: Sinocyclocheilus anshuiensis
Lineage: Eukaryota; Metazoa; Chordata; Actinopteri; Cypriniformes; Cyprinidae
Exons: 4
Source: RefSeq, a predicted model, not a curated record
AGCAAGGAAGAUUAAGGAAGAACAGAUGAGGAGAUUAUACAAGAGACAUUGUUGUGACAUCAAUCCACAUUGAAUCUGAUUAAAGUCAAUCACCGACUUACGAGACCUCAUCAUUGUGACAUCAUUCCACAUUGUCUCCAGUUUGGGGCAAUCACUCAAUUACAGACUGCAACCCUGAAGAAGCAGAAAGAGGAAUUUCUGAGACCACUCUGGGGCUUUUUGUGAUUCGCAAAGAAGGUGCUGGUGCUGAGGAUGAGCCGGGUGAUGUUGGAGUUGUGAUAGAGGGUGUAAAGCUGCUACAACACUUAAAGAGUAUUUCCUUUGGAUUAGUAAUGCUCUUCGGACUGAUCUACGCUCUCAACUUAAGCUACCCUCAAAGUCUCAAGUUCACAUUUGAAUUCUUCCAGAAGGUACUGAUGAAUUUAGAUGGCAGCAAGCUUUCCCCAAAGGUUCAAGCACUUCAAAUGUAAAUGUUUCAGUGAAUAGGACAUUCACUGUUUGCCUACAUGUUUCCAACAACUGGAGGGACAUUGAAAACUUUUAGACAAGAAUGCCCUGAAAAAAAUAUUUCUACAAACUGAUGACACUAACUCCAGCAUGCAAGAGACUGCACUUUCCUGCUUCCUGUAGCUCUGAAACUUUUGAUACAGGAGAUGUUACUUAUAUUGCUAUUGAGUCCAGGAAGUCAACUUUUCAGAUGACUCGUUUUCCAGUAGCGUUGAGGGUGUCUUGGGUUACGUCUCCAGUUCUUGGCCUCGUUGUAGUAGUUUCUCGUUUUUCAUGUUCUGCUUAAAUUCAGUUUCAGAGAGCUAAAACAGAGUUCAACAAAAGUGGAAUGCUACUUAUUCCACCACCCAAACAAAGGUCUGACAUUCUUGAAGGCAUGGCUGAGGAGAUCUUUUAGUAUGCAGCAUACCCCUCUGCAGUGAGUUGGACACGUUUUAAUGGCCUAAAUGCUGAAAUGUGAAAACCUGUUAUAUGUAUUAAAAAAAGUGUUGAAAACUUGAUAUAUGUGAAGUAAAAUAUUUGCUUUUCUUUUUUCCCAUUUAUUUUAAUUUAUUUAUUUUAUUGUAUUUUUCUCUAAGGGU